RNAcentral lists this long non-coding RNA (1067 nucleotides) under Oncorhynchus kisutch (coho salmon). RNAcentral describes it as "lncRNA (ENSOKIG00005035263.1)". The record is from RNAcentral. Lineage: Eukaryota; Metazoa; Chordata; Actinopteri; Salmoniformes; Salmonidae.
GUGGGUCGGUCUCAGAUCUUCCUGGUCAGUCCAGACACUAAGAAGGUUGCCAUAGAGAAGAGCUUCAGAGAAAUAUCUUUCUGCUCACAGGGUAUUCAUCAUGUGGAUCACUUUGGGUUCAUCUGUAGAGAGACAGUAGAAGGAGGGAGCUGUACGUUCGUCUGCUAUGUCUUCCAGUGUACUGAUGAAUCCCUGGUAAGACGGACAGAGAGAUGUUCAACACUGACAGACAGACGGAUGGAUUGAACUGAUCACUCUCUCUGCCUGUCUGUCUGCCUCUGCAUGUCUGUCUGUCUCUCUCUCUGCCUGUCUGUCUGUCUCUCCUCUGCCUGUCUGUCUGUCUCUCUCUCUACCUGUCUGUCUGUCUGUCUGUCUGUCUGUCUGUCUCUCUCUCUGCCUCUCUGUUGCCUCUCUGCCUGUCUGUCUCUCUCUCUGCCUCUCUGUCUGUCUGCUUCUCUGUCUGCCUGCCUACCCGCCUGUCUGCUCUUUCAGGUGGAUGAGAUCAUGUUGACUUAAAGCAGGCGUUCUCUGUGGCCGCCCUGCAGCAGAGUGUAAGGACCAGGAGCCAGCAGUGUGACAGUUGCCCCAUGCAGCAGCUGCACAGGCUGUGUGAGAGGAUAGAAGGUAGGAAACUGGUCCUGCCGGCCGUGUCAAAACACACUGUUAUGCCCACAGUCACACACAUUCAAGGUGCUGUUCAGUUUCAAUGGAGGGAAGUUCACCUGUGUCUCUGUGUGGUGUGUGUCUGUGUGGUGUGUGUCUGUGUGGUGUGUGUCUGUGUGGUGUGUGUCUGUGUGUCUGUGUGGUGUGUGUCUGUGUGUGUGUGUGUCUGUGUGUCUGUGUGUGUGUCUGUGUGUGUCUGUGUGUGUGUGUGUGUGUGUGUGUUUGUGUGUGUGUGUGUGUUUGUGUGUGUGUGUGUGUGUGUGUGUGUGUGUGUGUGUGUGUGUGUGUGGUCUCCAGGUCUCCUCCCGUCUAAAGCCAAGCUGGAGUUUCAGAAACAUCUGGCCACACUGGACAACCCAGGAACAAGCUGCUGUGUUCGAGAGCACUGUGAGGGCCAGUCCUAA